CCGAAUUCGUCCACUUCAGAGUUUGAUCCUGGCUCAGGACAAACGCUGGCGGCGUGCUUAACACAUGCAAGUCGAACGGUCUUUCCUUCGGGAAAGAUAGUGGCGGACGGGUGAGUAACACGUAGUUGACCUGCCCCUUUGUGGGGAAUAACUGCCCGAAAGGGUAGCUAAUACCGCAUAAGCUCUGUGUUGUUGGACAUAGAGGAAACUUUUGGCUUCGGCCAGGAGGCGAAGGGAGGGGACUGCGGCGGAUUAUCUAGUAGGUGAGGUAAAGGCUCACCUACGACGACGAUCCGUCAGCUGGCCGUGACAGGAACGACACAACCACACUGCGCACUGAACUGAGACACGACCCCUACUCCUAGGGGAGGGAGGAAUGUGCAUAUGGACAAUGGGCGAAGACUGAUGCAGCGACGCCGCGUGACCACGGGCCCUUUGGCGUGUAACUCCUUUUCUUUGGGAUGCACGCUCCCUCCCCCUUCCUCUUCUCUUUCUCUUAGAUACGUAGUAUCACUAGUAUCAGCUAGUAUCAGUAGAUCAGCGGGGAAGAAGAAGGACGAGAGGAGCUAAAAGACCAAGGAAAAGCCCGCUACUACUGCCGCGCGCGGAUACUAGGAGGAGGGUGCGGAUUAUGGCGUAAGGGGGGGGGACUCAGUUGGGGAACUCUGGUCACGGAGUGGUGGAAUGGAGUAAGACGUAAGGGGGAUUUGGGUAGGGAUGCAGAAUGCGGACCCCGGAAAGGCCCUGCCGAAUACUCCCCCUUGGGGGGAAAUCCGAGU
RNAcentral lists this ribosomal RNA (779 nucleotides) under uncultured bacterium. RNAcentral's name for it is "bacterial SSU rRNA". It matches the Rfam family "Bacterial small subunit ribosomal RNA", at positions 1 to 674 of the family's 1533-position model. The record is from RNAcentral.